This is a long non-coding RNA of Lates calcarifer (barramundi perch), 416 nucleotides long. RefSeq lists it as uncharacterized. The transcript is spliced from 3 exons. NCBI's taxonomy places the organism in Eukaryota, Metazoa, Chordata, Actinopteri, Centropomidae. The record is from RefSeq and is a predicted model, not a curated record.
UGUUCAAAUUACUUCCAGGAAUACCACUGCUAGUCAGCUAGCUUGUCCCUUUGCCUGCUGUAUUUAUAAAAAGUGAACCUGGUGGACGGCUGUUGCACCCCGGGAUGCCAAAAUAGUCGAGGUCAGGAAAAAGGGGGAACGUUUUAUCGGAUUCCCAAAGACCCUGAAAGAUGACUGGAUUACUGCCAUAAAACCUGCUAGAAGCCGACAGAGGAAAAUGGGGCGGUGGGAGCCCAGAGACAACGGUCUCCGCUUAUGUAGUGAUCUCCUCACAUCAGGCUGCUGAAAAAUUGGUCCUUCGGGGAUGGUUAUGUCUGGACUGUUCUUUCCUGAAGACUUAAAACUGUGAUCCCUCUGGCAUGCAUUGGAUUCAAGUAAAAAGAAGAGGAGAUGAAGUUGUCCUCCUCCACAAGGAC